RNAcentral lists this ribosomal RNA (301 nucleotides) under uncultured bacterium. RNAcentral's name for it is "partial 16S ribosomal RNA". It matches the Rfam family "Bacterial small subunit ribosomal RNA", at positions 509 to 807 of the family's 1533-position model. The record is from RNAcentral.
CAGUCGCCACGGUAAUACAGAGGGUGCAAGCGUUAAUCGGAUUUACUGGGCGUAAAGGGCGCGUAGGUGGUUAUUUAAGUGAGAUGUGAAAGCCCCGGGCUUAACCUGGGAACUGCAUCUUAUACUGGGUAACUGGAGUGCAGUAGAGGGUAGUGGAAUUUCCGGUGUAGCGGUGAAAUGCGUAGAUAUCGGAAGGAACACCAGUGGCGAAGGCGGCUACCUGGACUGAGACUGACACUGAGGCGCGAGAGCGUGGGGAGCAAACAGGAUUAGAUACCCCAGUAGUCCCUGUCUCUUAUAC